AUUGCUUCAAAAACCUCAAGUGUCGUUCUGUUACAGCGAGGUUUAGGCUAUGUAGUGUUGUACGAAGCGACAUCAGUCGCUUAUGUGUUGCCGUAGUGGGGUUUGUUUUAUGGGUGGAUUCUACUGUGGCCAGGUCUUUCUCUACCUUGUCCAGUGUUGUGUUGUGCAGCCUCUUUGUCCUAGCCCCUAUCUGGAUUAAUUCUCCCCUCAUGACCGCCUUAUGGGCCAGCCAUUUUGUGGUGUCGGAUGACGAGCAGUCAACGUGGUCAGCGAAAAAUUCCGCAGCCCGGACCUGUAGUCGUUGAAGAUGUGCUGGUACGUCUAAUAGACCUUCAUUCAGGCGCCAUGUGCCUCUACCCCUAGCUGGGUACGGAAUUCGCAUAGUGACAACGUACGGGGCAUGGUCAGACCACGUGAUCGGCCCAAUAUGAGCCUUAAUGGCGAGGGGCAAUGUUUUGGUGUCGAGUAGACAAAGGUCAAUUCUCGUGUAGGUCCUAUGGACCGACGAGUAGUACGUGUAGUCCCUCCCACUCGGGUGCAAGCCUCUCCAUGUGUCAUAGAAGUCAUGCCCGUGCAAUAAUUUCCUAAAGUGUUGGCCUAGUGAGAUUGAAUGUUGUUGUGGUAAUUUGUUCCCCUCACGUUUUAUAUCGACAUCGGGAUCUGGAACGCAAUUAAAGUCCCCG
This is a non-coding RNA of Pelobates cultripes (western spadefoot toad), 683 nucleotides long. NCBI's taxonomy places the organism in Eukaryota, Metazoa, Chordata, Amphibia, Anura, Pelobatidae. The record is from the annotation of a GenBank genome assembly.